This 597-nucleotide ribosomal RNA is filed under the name uncultured bacterium. RNAcentral's name for it is "bacterial SSU rRNA". It matches the Rfam family "Bacterial small subunit ribosomal RNA", at positions 331 to 929 of the family's 1533-position model. The record is from RNAcentral.
CCAGACUCCUACGGGAGGCAGCAGUGGGGAAUAUUGGUCAAUGGACGGAAGUCUGAACCAGCCAAGUAGCGUGCAGGAUGACGGCCCUAUGGGUUGUAAACUGCUUUUGUAUGGGGAUAAAGUUAGGGACGUGUCCCUAUUUGCAGGUACCAUAUGAAUAAGGACCGGCUAAUUCCGUGCCAGCAGCCGCGGUAAUACGGAAGGUUCAGGCGUUAUCCGGAUUUAUUGGGUUUAAAGGGAGCGUAGGCUGGAGAUUAAGUGUGUUGUGAAAUGUAGACGCUCAACGUCUGACUUGCAGCGCAUACUGGUUUCCUUGAGUACGCACAACGUUGGCGGAAUUCGUCGUGUAGCGGUGAAAUGCUUAGAUAUGACGAAGAACUCCGAUUGCGAAGGCAGCUGACGGGAGCGCAACUGACGCUUAAGCUCGAAGGUGCGGGUAUCAAACAGGAUUAGAUACCCUGGUAGUCCGCACAGUAAACGAUGGAUGCCCGCUGUUGGUACCUGGUAUCAGCGGCUAAGCGAAAGCAUUAAGCAUCCCACCUGGGGAGUACGCCGGCAACGGUGAAACUCAAAGGAAUUGACGGGGGCCCGCACAAG